Molecule: ribosomal RNA, 207 nt
Filed under: uncultured bacterium
Lineage: Bacteria
Description: partial 16S ribosomal RNA
Rfam family: Bacterial small subunit ribosomal RNA
Source: RNAcentral
CUCGUAGGCGGCUCGUCGCGUCCGGUGUGAAAGUCCAUCGCCUAACGGUGGAUCUGCGCCGGGUACGGGCGGGCUGGAGUGCGGUAGGGGAGACUGGAAUUCCCGGUGUAACGGUGGAAUGUGUAGAUAUCGGGAAGAACACCAAUGGCGAAGGCAGGUCCCUGGGCCGUUACUGACGCUGAGGAGCGAAAGCGUGGGGAGCGAACA